This 253-nucleotide ribosomal RNA is filed under the name uncultured bacterium. RNAcentral's name for it is "partial 16S ribosomal RNA". It matches the Rfam family "Bacterial small subunit ribosomal RNA", at positions 524 to 776 of the family's 1533-position model. The record is from RNAcentral.
GACAGAGGUCCCGAGCGUUAGACGGAAUCACUGGGCUUAAAGCGUGUGUAGGCGGAAGGGUAAGUACCUUGUGAAAUCCCACGGCUCAACCGUGGAACUGCUUGGUAUACUGCUUUUCUUGAGCCACUUAGGGGCAACCGGAACAAAUGGUGGAGCGGUGAAAUGCGUAGAUAUCUGGAGGAAUACCGGUGGCGAAGGCGGCAUCCUGGACCGACAUUGACGCUGAUGAGCGAAAGCUAGGGGAGCAAACGGG